UACAGAGGGGCCCAGUGUUACUCCUCGGAAUUUGGCGUAAAGGGUAUGUAGGCGGUUUAAUAAUCCUUCAUUUUAGCAACAUGACAUAAUCGUGGUGAAUUUGAAGGGACUGUUAAACUAGAGUUUAAACGAGUUAUUUAGACUAUAUUUCUUAAAGCAGAAGUGAAAUGCGGAGACUUUAAGAGGGGUACCAAAUGGCGAAGGCAAGUUAACAGUUUAAACUGACGCUAAGGUACGGAGGCGAGAGUAUCAAACGGG
Molecule: unclassified non-coding RNA, 258 nt
Filed under: uncultured bacterium
Lineage: Bacteria
Description: contains 16S-23S intergenic spacer region
Rfam family: Bacterial small subunit ribosomal RNA
Source: RNAcentral